This 73-nucleotide transfer RNA is filed under the name Sus scrofa (pig). It matches the Rfam family "tRNA". Rfam says of the family: Transfer RNA (tRNA) molecules are approximately 80 nucleotides in length. Their secondary structure includes four short double-helical elements and three loops (D, anti-codon, and T loops). Lineage: Eukaryota; Metazoa; Chordata; Mammalia; Artiodactyla; Suidae. The record is from Rfam by way of RNAcentral.
UCCCUGGUGGUCUAGUGGUCAAGGAUUCAGCACUGUCACUUCUGUGGCUCAGGUUCGAUCCCUGGUCCAGGAA